RNAcentral lists this transfer RNA (77 nucleotides) under Alphaproteobacteria bacterium. Its description in RNAcentral is "tRNA-Val". It matches the Rfam family "tRNA". Rfam says of the family: Transfer RNA (tRNA) molecules are approximately 80 nucleotides in length. Their secondary structure includes four short double-helical elements and three loops (D, anti-codon, and T loops). Further hydrogen bonds mediate the characteristic L-shaped molecular structure. tRNAs have two regions of fundamental functional importance: the anti-codon, which is responsible for specific mRNA codon recognition, and the 3' end, to which the tRNAs corresponding amino acid is attached (by aminoacyl-tRNA synthetases). tRNAs cope with the degeneracy of the genetic code in two manners: having more than one tRNA (with a specific anti-codon) for a particular amino acid; and 'wobble' base-pairing, i.e. permitting non-standard base-pairing at the 3rd anti-codon position. Lineage: Bacteria; Pseudomonadati; Pseudomonadota; Alphaproteobacteria. The record is from RNAcentral. RNAcentral also lists the same sequence under 4 other names.
GGGUGGUUAGCUCAGUUGGCUAGAGCGUCACGUUGACAUCGUGGAGGUCGUUGGUUCGAGCCCAAUACCACCCACCA